Molecule: long non-coding RNA, 2437 nt
Organism: Prinia subflava (tawny-flanked prinia)
Lineage: Eukaryota; Metazoa; Chordata; Aves; Passeriformes; Cisticolidae
Exons: 4
Source: RefSeq, a predicted model, not a curated record
GGAUGGGGCCCGGUGGAUUCCCUGGGAAGGAGCUUGGCCCCGCUGGGAAGAGGCCCCAGCCGCGCUGCCAGGACGGGGGCCAGCGCACUUCCAAUGAAGGGGCCGGUGCAGCAGCACAGCCCUGCCAGGCCAUGUGGGCCAUGCACGGCCAGCCCAGCCAGCAUCGUUACCUGUUCAAAGGCCAGAAGCAAGAGAGCUUUUCACGGGCUUGCCCGUCCUUCAAUGUGUUUUCACAGAGACAUAUCCAGCUCUUUCAAGUGGUUUAACCAGGUGUCAGUCUUCGAAACUAGCCAGCUGACUGAUUCCACCAGGUCCCCACAGGGAAUCAUUUCCACAGGUCAUGGAUUCCCUCGUUCACUAAAAACCAAACCUACGUUAAACCACAACAGUCUCCUGGCAUCAGCAGGCUCCACACAACAUUCCAUUCCUCUCAGGAAGAAUAGGCUUGAUGGUAUUUUGACUCCUUUCUCAGAGACUCCCACAUGGUACUUUACAAUCCUACUUUGCUCUUAAAUACACAUCCUGGGCUGCAUCCCAGAGAUGUGUGUCAGGCACGAAGUGCUGUCAGUCAGCCCCAGUCACAACAUAUCAGGGCUUAGGAGAAGUCUGACUGAUCAGAGUGAGGGGAGGAGGGAGCACAGGAACAAGAGAAAAAGGCUGAACAGGAAAAAAAAAAAGAGAAAGAAAAAUCAAGUGGGAAAAUGGCAGGAAAUAUUCCAUACAGCAAAAGAUGUUUUUUAUCUGCGAUACAACAGCACUGUCAGGCACCAAAAAGGACAAAGAUGUUCAGAUACAGAGUGUCCUAGGGUGACUUUAUGAUGCUUGUAUCCCCUGUCCCCUACUCUGUUUGUGCAGUAUAUUGUGUUCUGUACCUUUAAGACUGGCUCUGAGGAGCAGGGAGAAGCGCUGAGUUGUUUUGAGAAAUCUGCCAGACUCCUCCGCAUUCCUUCUCCUGGACUGUGUUUGUCUGAAGUACAGACAGCAGCAGGACAGAGCUUUCCUGUGCUUUUAGUUAAUUUAGCUAGCUGAGGCAGAGAAGCUCUGUGGACUGGUUUUUUUUUCCUUUUUCUUGGGACUGUUUAAACCUGCUCUGGACUGAAAACCCAGGGGAGCACUGGGAGCUCACACCUGCUGCCCCAUCAGGGCCUGGACCUCCGGAGGGACUGAUAAGAGACUGAGCGAGCUUCGCUACCCACAGCAAAGACUUUCUGAAUUUCCCAUCUCACUUCAGAGCAAAAAGAGUAUCUUCCACCAUGCAUGAAGUGAAUAAAUAUUUGUUGGGCUGAAGAGAGAGGAGGGCAGUGAGGAGAGAUGACUCCAUAGUAUAAUUUAUACAAGUAUUCCCUGGACCUCGAACAGGAACCAGCAUUGCCCCUACUCCCAGUGUUGAAAAGUUCAAAUAGAAGGACUGAGCAAAUUCUCCUGCUACCUCAAAACCAGAAUUACCUGACAAUCAGAAGUGUCUUUCCAGGUUCCCUUAGGCAAAGGACAGAGGCACAAAGGGACACAAACACACUCAGUGGGACACAACAACUCUGCAUGGUAUGACCCCAGGUGCUGGAGAGGUGUCAAACGCCAGGAGGAGCAACAAACCUGGUGGAGCAAAAGUACCAAUGUGGCUGUUUCCCUCAGGAAAAGUGGGAAAGAGGAGGUGUAAAGUCAGCAAUGCCUUAUGAACAAAUAUGGUGGAUGAAGACACAUGACAGGAUGGAGCAUCAUUUUGGGCCACCAACACUGGGACAAAAAACCAGAAGUAGCUCCAUCAGAAGAGUGCUGUAAGUUUGUAUGGACACUGUUUGUACGUAUAUAUUAACAUUAUUAAUGUUAAUAAUUAACAUUAUUAAUAAAAAGAAACUAUGAAAAAUGCCCCUUCUAGGAGACUAACUACCAAAAUAAACCUAAAAAUGCAACAGUAAAAGCUCACACAUCCUAGCUGCAACAGUUAAAGGCUUGAACACCAACUGUAGAUGCAUCACAAAGACAUGACUGUGACUUAGACCCAAUAUUGGUGCAUGAUAAAAACAGAAUGGAAGAGAUGGAACCGGAAAAUAGCCUUGGACAGACUGAUUUAUUUAAAACUCCUGCCUCAUUUUGACUUAUUAUAAACAGAAGAGACAGAUAGACAACAGCAGAGUGCUGCCUAAAGGUUCCUGGUUUCAAAAGGGCAAACCUAGCCUUGCCUAUAAAAGGUAAGUUCAAAUAUCCCUGGGGACUUCACCCCAAACACAGAAAAAUUGUGAAGGAGUAAAUCCUGGGUGGCUCCUAACUUGCUGGAAUGAGUAGAGCAAUGCAGAUAAAAGGAAUAAGAAGAGAGCAAAGAAAGGGAGAUGAUUAAUCAGCAAAGAGCAAAAUUUUAGGGGCUGAAAAUAGAAGAGAUGGAGUGGGAAAUGCCAAACAUCAAAGGAGUUAGACCUGAGGAAGGAUAUUAAAUAGUAAA